Molecule: long non-coding RNA, 764 nt
Filed under: Brassica rapa (field mustard)
Lineage: Eukaryota; Viridiplantae; Streptophyta; Magnoliopsida; Brassicales; Brassicaceae
Description: long non-coding RNA (BRAP_LNC006763)
Source: RNAcentral
UUUUGCUGUGAGUGUCCUUGACUUCUCCUCAUUUGGAAUCGCUGGUUUUAUAAACCCUUAACUUCUGUUUUUCUGCGUCUUUUAGUUUCGGUUAUGUCGCUUUUUUUUCUUUGAUUAAAAAAACUAUGGGUCAUGGUUGUUGUUAUUUCUAUUUUUUCUGCGUCUUUCUGCGUGUUUCAGUUUUGGUUACGUCGUUUUUCUUCUUUUUUUUUUAAUUUAAAAAAAAAUUAUGUCGUGGUUGAUGUAACUUCUUUUAUCAAUGCCAAUCUUUUCACAAUAACACCACAACAUGUGUUCUGUUUAAAUAUUAAAUUAUGUUACGUUUCAACAAGCCAACGCUUGCAAGGCUUAUAAAACAUAGUAUGUGUAAUGUGUUUUAAAAUUCAGCAAAAUUUAGACUAAGUUUGAUAUUAGAGGCAUAUAUAUUAACCAAUUUAUCACAUUUAUUAUGUACAAUACGUUGUGUUUCAAAAAAAAAAAAUAUUAAUGUACAAUACGUUAGAUUGCAUGGUCACAAUAAAUCUAUUUAAAAAGUGACGUUCACAAUCAAUCUAUUUUAAAAGUGACUUCAAAUUGGGUGUUAAAUUUUUCUCUCUUCCCUCCUAGAUCAGAGGAAAAAAAAUUGUUAAAGUGAUGGUAACAUCCAAGUUAACCCGAAGAUGAUUACAUGUAAUAACUUUGACCAGCGACUUUCCACUGCAUCUUAUAAGACCUAAUAACAUUUACUUUAGGUCAAGAACAUUUGAUAAUAUGUGAGAUUUCAC